CGCCCACUUCAGGGGCACUUUAUUAUCCUUAGUGAGCCGCCGCUGCCACCACCAGCAUCACCCCUACCCUUUCCUCCAUGGCAACACAGACAGACAAACAGGAAGCAGCUGUUGCCAGGGAAACAGCCAGAAGGUCUGCAGUGCUAUAGUGUGGCAGAGAGUGUGAGUGAGGUGGCCAACACAAUACAAAAUUCCAACAAAACAGGGACACAUCCUGGAUUUUCCCCAUGCUUUUACAAAGAGCCUUCUGUAUUUUUACAUCUUUCCCUCGAACUGCAACCGUCCAUACUUUCAUUUUUGCUCUGUUUAUCCUGGUCAGUGCGCCAAAGCUUUCACAAUGGAUUUACAAGAAAGUCCCUGAAAGCUGCAGCACUUGUGGCAGGAUGCCGAGUCCAAUACACUCUCACUGUGCCUUCAGCAAAGGUAGUUAACCUAACACUACAAUGCAAUACCAGCUCAAGCUAUGGCAACAGGACUGAUGGGACCAUUUAAAAGUUCUUGUCAGCUUCCCAUACCUACACCUUUCUGAUGUUGGAUUAAGGAGUCUGUGUGAGAUCAUUUCUGUAACUUUCCAAACCAACGAUCAGAUGUUCACACCCACUUCACAACUUGAUUGACCAGCUGUGCAGAGGUGAGAAAGUAAGCUAGGUUUGAGCUUCUCUCUCUAUAGCGUGCUUCUUUCUAGGCAAUAUUUUACUUCACUUUUAUAUAUUAACACUUUUGCCUGCCAAUGUGGUCGGACGACCCAAAUUAAAAGUUUGAGCUGAUGGUGGCUCUACAGGGAAACGCAGGGGAAGAUUCAUAAUUUGGGAACAAUGAAUGUCUGUACAAAAUUACAUGGCAAUCCAUCCAAUAGUUGUUGAGAUGUUUCAGUCUGGACCAAAGUGGUGGACCGAUUGACCAACCGACAUUACUAUUAAGCCGUGCAGCUAGGAUGCUAAAAAUGACUACCUCUCUGAUACAGUCUUAACACAAAGCUUAAGCCCUUUACAAAGGCUGUAGUUGCUGCAGAUCAUUAUACUGUGAAUUAUGUUGUUAUCUCCCUGUUAAUUUCCUCUGCUGUGUAUGUAUCUGUUUGUGGUGUUCAGAUGGCAAUGUCAUAAGUAUCAUAAGUAAUUUUCCUUUUACAAGACACAGGUGGAUUUUACACACCGGGAGUUAUCGGAAGUCGAGUCAUCAAGUUUAAGUUUUGUACGUCAAUGAACAAUGUUGCUCAACCCUCCAACAAACCACAAAUCAAGGAAACUGUGACCUCACCAGCACUGUAGUCUAUGCAGAUUAUCACAGAAGAAAAGUUGUUAGAGGCUAAAGUUUGGAAGAACAGAACUUGUUCCAUAAAGAUACAGAAGAAUAAGAAUAGCUUCCUAAUGUGAUUCAUGAGUCAGUCCUGUUUUUCCAUUGGAUGAAGGUAGUGUUGAAUGUGUUUUUUUCUUUUGCCCUAUUUCUUGUUCCGACAUUCAUAAAAUGUGUUGACUUACCUAAUAACCUGCACAUGCUGCUUAGAAUAAAUUAAUCUAUUGAAUGCAUUUUAAAAAUAAAGGGCUCCAGUUUGUUUACUAGUUGAUACAGUAUGUGAAUGUGUGAGUUCACACGUAUCCUGUGUCGUAAUUCCUUUUGAGCAAUCUCAAAAACAUCUUGAUAAAAAAAACCACAGUGGUGACGUGAAAAGAUGGUAUAUCCUUGUAUCAUCUUAGCACACUGCCUCUUUUACAACACAUUGCAUCUCACACCUCUUCAACACGCAAAGAUCAUGGGUGGAUCUGACCAUGACAAACUUAUUUUGGGAUGAAUUCCAUGACAAUGUAUAAAAAUACUGCCAAAAGGAAGUGAUAUUUUUCUGUUUUUAGCUCAAACGUCAAGCUCAGAUGUGACAUGAGACAGAUGUCACGCACACUCUCUUCCCCACAUUCAACUUCUAAGAAUCACACUGAAUGAAGAAACCUUUAACCUUCAGCCUGAAUCCUCCUGAAGUAAAGAAAUUAUAAUUUUUUCUUCAUGAUCCUGCCUGACAGAAGUGGAUCUUUUGAAAUUUCAGUUCUGAGCUGCUAAAAUUUUACUGUACUUUAAAGUCCCCCGCCACUCAGAAAUAUGUUUUUCUUCUUGUUCCUACAGUUGGAUGUUUGAAUGGUGUAUGAGUCGAGUUUGACACUAGAAGGAUGUUUUCACAUUCAUCUGAUGGAAGUGGAAAGUUUGUCUGACCUCAUUGAACAUCUGAUCUUAAGGGGCGGGGCCAACCAGCAUGAUUUGUAACAUCACAAAUAGUUAAUAGAAAUAGAAAUCAAUGUUGGUCUACUAUGCAGCUUCUGCAAGUGUGAUGUAGAAACUUGAAGCCACCAUUGCACAUAGACUGAGAAUGGACUUUACAUUGAAGUAGGAGACAUCUUGUGUCCAGCAGGAAAACUUUAGAAUUGAACAACAUUUACAUAUUCAUAGAUUCUGUUUUUAAUAAUGCUUUUAAGGAUUUUAAUGUAGGAAUUAUAGUUGGGUUUUUUUCUGCAGAAAAAAACAGUCAGACAACCUUUAUUGUUCCCAGCAGACUAUUUGUAUAUAUGUCUAUAAUACAUGCAGGCAGGGAAUCUUUAAGCCUGAAAUCUCCUUUGUGGGAAUGUAAACAAAUAUAAAUACAUUAUUCAAACAGUAUCUACAUUUCAGCAGUAAUAUUUGAGCCUCCCACCACUGACUGAUAGUUUUGAAUAAAUUUUUUCCAGUGUUCACCACAUUUGUUGUAAACAAGCUGAAGUUAUGUACCGAGUUGUACCCUGUACAGUUCUGACUUAUAUAAACACAGAAAGUUGUAACAACUUCUUGUGUGACAAAUAGUUAUCAAUCUGAAUACAGAUAGGAACACUGAUAUUUAUGUGACAUAAACAGAUUUUUGCAGUUCCUUAGAUCUCUCUCAUAACUGACAGGACUACAGUUGAUUAUAUUCUGAUGGACGCACACCCACACAGCCACUGGCGGCAGUGGCGUGAAGUUAGUGGUUUCUGUUUGCAUCAUUGUUGUUUUAUUUUUUUUAAAUCGGUUUUGUAUCUUUACUAAAUCUUUGAAGUGCUUUGGGAUUUCAAGAAACUGCAGUAAAGUUUCCUUUUGGGGAUGAAUAAAAUGAUUGACUGGUCGAUUCAUGCCUCAGACUAAGGAUUUUUGUGGCUCUGGCCCAUUGCAUACAAAUGUUGAUUUCCUACUUUGCAGAGAGCUUGGUUUCGGUUCAGUUCAGUUUUUAGUUUUUUUUUUUUCAGUUAGUUUAGUUAUUAUUUCAAGCAUGUCAACAAAAUGCAUGAGCUGAAAUCAACAGCUUAGAUGACCUUGAUAAUCAUAGAAACUUGUGAUGCUUUGUAGGCAGUAAUGUUCAGUACACACAAG
This 3360-nucleotide long non-coding RNA is filed under the name Dicentrarchus labrax (European seabass). Its description in RNAcentral is "lncRNA (ENSDLAG00005033555.1)". Lineage: Eukaryota; Metazoa; Chordata; Actinopteri; Moronidae. The record is from RNAcentral.